AUUGAACGCUGGCGGCAGGCCUAACACAUGCAAGUCGAGCGAGAGGCGGGCGGGUGAGUAAUGUGUGGGAAACUGCCCGUUGGGGGGGGAUAACUACUGGAAACGGUAGCUAAUACAGCAUACCAUCAGAUGUGUCCAGAUGGGAUUAGCUAGUAGGUGGGGUAACGGCUCACCUCGGCGACGAUCCCUAGCUGGUCUGAGAGGAUGACCAGCCACACUGGAACUGAGACACGGUCCAGACUCCUACGGGAGGCAGCAGUGGGGAAUAUUGCACAAUGGGCGCAAGCCUGAUGCAGCCAUGCCGCGUGUGUGAAGAAGGCCUUCGGGUUGUAAAGCACUUUCAGCGGGGAGGCGUUACCCGCAGAAGAAGCACCGGCUAACUCCGUGCCAGCCGCCGCGGUAAUUC
RNAcentral lists this ribosomal RNA (406 nucleotides) under uncultured bacterium. Its description in RNAcentral is "partial 16S ribosomal RNA". It matches the Rfam family "Bacterial small subunit ribosomal RNA", at positions 30 to 526 of the family's 1533-position model. The record is from RNAcentral.